GGGAAGGGAUCAUUUGCACAUGCAUAUACAACUGUAUGAUAAUGAUAUUGUGGGCAAGUGUAGGCAUGUAUUGCCAUGAACUUGCACGUGCCCUGGGCUGCAUGGCUUGUUUGUUCAAGCAUGUGUGCUGUAGAGUGUUACAUGUUUGAUAAACUGCUUGCAACUUCUUUGCUUGCUACAAUGAUUAUGUUUUGCAAAGAAUGUAUUAGCUCAAUAAAUGAUGAAGAAUGCAGCAAAAUGCAUUAUGCAUUGUGAAUUGCAGAAUUCCGUGAGCUAACAGAUGUUUGAAUGUUAUUUGUAUCUUUGGGAUAUUCUUGAAGGUGUGCUUGAUUCAAUGCAUAUUAUUUUUCAUAUGUAUAUAAUGCUGAUUAGCAUUGCUGUGAGCAAUAAGGGUCAACGUGUUUGCAUUGAACCUGGGUGUCAUACACUUUCUUUACAACCUAAACAUGGUUUAUUUGGGCAAACUUGUUUCGUCAUUUGCUGGUUGAUAUGUGUAAACAUGCACAACUGAGACAAGCUGAAGACUUGCAUAUGCUUAGCGUGAAGUGAAGCACAUAAACCCGCUGAAUUUUUAGGC
This 577-nucleotide ribosomal RNA is filed under the name Alexandrium tamarense. RNAcentral describes it as "eukaryotic LSU rRNA". The stretch from base 186 to 340 matches the Rfam family "5.8S ribosomal RNA". Lineage: Eukaryota; Dinophyceae; Gonyaulacales; Pyrocystaceae. The record is from RNAcentral.